AGGGUUCGAUUCUGGCUCAGAACGUACGCUGGCGGCACGCCUAACACAUGCAAGUCGAACGAAGUAGCAAUACUUAGUGGCAGACGGGUGAGUAACAUGUAGGUAUCUGCCCUUUGGCCUGGAAUAACACGAGGAAACUUGUGCUAAUACCGGAUAAGUCUUUACGGAGAAAGCUUUAUGCACCAUUGGAUGAGCCUGCACUUGAUUAGUUUGUUGGUGGGGUAAUGGCCUACCAAGACUGUGAUCAAUAGCUGAUUUGAGAGGAUGAUCAGCCACAUUGGGACUGAGACACGGCCCAAACUCCUACGGGAGGCAGCAGUGGGGAAUCUUGCACAAUGGAGGAAACUCUGAUGCAGCGAUGCCGCGUGAGUGAAGAAGGCCUUUGGGUUGUAAAGCUCUUUCGUCGGGGAAGAAAAUGACUGUACCCGAAUAAGAAGGUCCGGCUAACUUCGUGCCAGCAGCCGCGGUAAUACGAAGGGACCUAGCGUAGUUCGGAAUUACUGGGCUUAAAGAGUUCGUAGGUGGUUGAAAAAGUUGGUGGUGAAAUCCCAGAGCUUAACUCUGGAACUGCCAUCAAAACUUUUCAGCUAGAGUGUGAUAGAGGAAAGCAGAAUUUCUAGUGUAGAGGUGAAAUUCGUAGAUAUUAGAAAGAAUACCAAUUGCGAAGGCAGCUUUCUGGAUCAUUACUGACACUGAGGAACGAAAGCAUGGGUAGCGAAGAGGAUUAGAUACCCUCGUAGUCCAUGCCGUAAACGAUGUGUGUUAGACGUUGGAAAUUUAUUUUCAGUGUCGCAGCGAAAGCGAUAAACACACCGCCUGGGGAGUACGACCGCAAGGUUAAAACUCAAAUGAAUUGACGGGGACCCGCACAAGUAGUGGAGCAUGUGGUUUAAUUCGAAGAUACGCGCAGAACCUUACCAACACUUGACAUGUUCGUCGCGACUUUAAGAGAUUAAAGUUUUCGGUUCGGCCGGACGAAACACAGGUGCUGCAUGGCUGUCGUCAGCUCGUGUCGUGAGAUGUUGGGUUAAGUCCCGCAACGAGCGCAACCCUCACUUUUAGUUGCCAUCAUUAAGUUGGGCACUCUGAAAGAACUGCCAGUGAUAAGCUGGAGGAAGGUGGGGAUGACGUCAAGUCCUCAUGGCCCUUACGUGUUGGGCUACACACGUGCUACAAUGGUAUCUACAACAGGAAGCAAGACUGCGAAGUUAAGCAAAUCCUUAAAAGAUACCUCAGUUCGGAUUGCACUCUGCAACUCGAGUGCAUGAAGCUGGAAUUACUAGUAAUCGUGGAUCAGCGUGCCACGGUGAAUGCGUUCCCGGGUCUUGUACACACCGCCCGUCACACCAUGGGAGUUGGUUCUACCUUAAGGCAAGGUUUAAAACCCUUGACCACGGUAUAGUCAGCGACUGGGGUGAAGUCGUAACAAGGUAACCA
Molecule: ribosomal RNA, 1437 nt
Filed under: uncultured marine microorganism
Description: bacterial SSU rRNA
Rfam family: Bacterial small subunit ribosomal RNA
Source: RNAcentral